ACAAUUUCUUUUCUUUUUUUUUGUCUUUUAUCUUUAUAGGGCCCCACCCACGGCAUAUGGAGAUUCUCAGGCUAGGGGUCAAAUUGGAGCUACAGCUGCCAGCCUACACCACAGCCACAGCAACGCAGGAUCCAAGCCAUGUCUACAACCUACAUCACAGCUGAUCCUUGCCGGAUCCUUAACCCACUGAGCAAAGCCAGGGAUCGAACCUGCAGCCUCAUGGUUCCUAGUCGGAUUUGUUUCCGCUGCACCAUGAUGGGAACUCCUAGAAAGGGAGACAAGUUCUGACAGCAAGAAAGAAGAGGUGGUAGAAGGGCUGUUUUAUAAACUUGUUAGCCAAGGAGUUCCCUUUGUGGCUUAGUGAUUAAUGAACUCUAGGAUCCAUGAGGGUGUAGGUUUGAUCUCUGGCCUCAGUGGGUUAAGGACCCUGCAUUGCUGUGAGCUGUGGUGUAGGUUGCAGAUGCAGCUCAGAUGCCACGUUGCUGUGGCUGUGGUGUAGGCCAGCAGCUACAGCUCUGGUUUGACCCCUAGCCUGGACACUUCCAUAUUCCAUGGGUAUUGUCCUAAAAAGCAAAAAGCUAAAAUAACCAAAAAAAAAAAACUUGUGGCAUGGGCCAGCAGUUACAGCUCCGAUUUGACCCCUAGCCUGGGAACCUCCAUAUGCCCGGGUAUGGCCCUACGCAAAAUAAAUAAAUAAAAAAGCCAAAACUCUGUGACAUUGUUUGGGUGAAUACUAACAGUAUAAACCAGAGCCAGGGUGAAAUGAAGGGGAUUUCAGAGAUAUGAGGGUAAAUCUGGUUUUGGGUGUCUGAGAUUUGACAAGAUAUCCAGGUAGUAAAGUCUAGCACAUUGUGGGGGAAUAUGGAGUGGGAGUACUAUAGAGAAUGUAGAGCAAAAUAUAUAGAGAUAUGGGAAGCAUCAAUUUCAAACCAAUGGCAGAAAUCAAGAGAGCUGAAGACUUUGCAAGAAUGAGAGCACAUAGGAAGAUGAAAACAGACUGGGAUGACAGGCCUCUGGGGAACAUCUGCUCACUGGAAGGAGGAGAAAAAAGAGGCCAGAAAAUACUCUUACUAAGAAGAAGAAACAGGAGAAUUAGGAGGAUAGGAAUAAAGAACUCUAAGAAGGUCAAUUUUAUCAAAUGUUGCAGAGAAGCUGAAAGGGAAGGGGAUUGAAUUAAACCUUUGAAACUUGAAAAUGAGUAAUUUCAUAUGAAUGGUAGAAGGCACAGUGCAAGAAGUCAAGGAGUGUGACUGGGUGGAUUGGAUGUGGCAGAGACAGUUAAUGGCUCUUCCAAAUCCGCUCUCCCAUUCUUCCACAGUGAUAGCUUCAAUUGGUCAUGGGGGUCUCCCAUUCUUCCACAGUGAUAACUUCAAUUGGUCAUGGGGGUCUCCCAUUCUUCCACAGUGAUAGCUUUAAUUGGUCAUGGGGAUAGGACUGCAUUUCUCAGCCUAGGUAUAGCCCAUGACUACAUCUGGUAGCUGGGUAUAGCCAUCCAACUAAGUUCUGUUCCAUGGGGACAAGAGAAGUGGUAUGUUCUGUAUCUCUAAUUGUGCUCUCAAAAGGAACAACAUACCCUCCCUUGCCUCAAUGCCCUUCCUAAUAGUUGUGUAAUGAACAUGAUGGCAAGAGCUGCAGCAGCCACCUUGAGCCCAGAGAUGGGAUCUUCAUGUUAAAGAUGGCAAGCUUAUGAAAGAUGCCUGUGUACAUGAUAGUACCUGAUAGUCAAAUCAUCCCUUGACUGCUUAUUCUCAGACGAUUAACUGAAGAGAAAAUAAUCUUCCACCUCCUCUUUCACUGUUAAAUUUCAAGGUUUUGGAACACCUGAAGCCUGCAUUCAAACUCUAUACUGAUUAUAAUUUAGACCCUUUCUUCUGCUGUGGCUAGAACCAAUAUCAACAUACUUCUAUAAAAUCAGAAAGCAGAUCUUUACUAGUUGACCUGGGGAAAGCAGUAUGGUGACCUUUUUCCAUUUUUGACUCUCUGGCUGUUAAUGGGUUGAAUUGUGUUCCCCCAAAAAGUAUGCUAAAGUCCUCAACCCCAGGACCUCUAAAUUUGGAAAUAGGGCCAUUGAAGAUAUAAUUAGUUAUGAUGGGGUCAUAACUGGAAUAGAGUAGGACUCUAAUUCACAAUGAUUAGUCCCCUUGUAGAAAGAAUACCAUGUCCAGAGGUAUACACAGGAGACUACAAUGUGAGCAUGAAGGCAGAGACCAGAGUGCUGUGUCUGUAAGCCAAGAAAUGCCAAAGACUGCCAGUAAACCACAAGAAUCAAGGAAUGAGGCAUGGGACAGAUAAUCCCUCACAGCCCUUGGAACAAAUCAACCCUGGUGACUAUUCAGUCUUAGACUGGUAGCCCCCAAACUGUGGGGCAAUAAAUUACUCUUAUUUAAGACAACCCAGUGUGUGAUGUUUAGUUGUGGCAGUCCUGGGGAAAAGUGCACUGGCCAAAGGAUUAAUUUCCAUCCCUUAGGCACCUGCAAAAGAGAUUCUGGGGAACCUCUCCAUUUAGAGGACCUAGUAAUUAUAUCCUUUACUGUCCUGGAUAAUAUGGUCACUUUUUAGCAACUGGUCUCAUCUAUCACUGGUUGCCUAUGAGUGUUAUCUAUCAAUGUCAAAGACUAUAGUAAAUUCUGAAACUAAUUUACAUAUAAUAAAAAGUCAAAUGAAUCAGCUAUGGUGCAGCUCUGAUUGAAAUUUUUUGGAGAAUAAACAUUCUAUAAUUUGGAGAAUUGAUCUUUUAUGGGUUGUGGAUAAGACUAUGAAUAUCUAUUACAUAUAUUUGCAAGAUGACAGAAUGAGGACAAAUAUAAUUAUGCAUGUUUAUUCUCAGUUCCUAUUGAACUGAGUUUUUUUUUCCCUUUCACAUUUAUUAUGCAAGUAUGAUAAGCUCUGCAGCAAAUAAGGGACAGGUUGGUGUAGAGUCUAUAUUUCUGUUUCCAUGGAGGCAAAGCUGGAAAGAAAUCAUGAUAUACUUUAAGAAUUUGUGCCAGUUUUAAAUUAAGGCAGAAUAUUGUUGUAUUCAUGUUGUAGAAAGUUAUUGAAAAAAAAUAGUAAGUUUUUCCUCCCUAUGGGUGAUUCACUUCAAAUUUAAAUAAGUGAAUAUUUUCUAUUUCAAGAAAUGUUUUUAUGAAUAAGAGAAUGCUUUCCAAACUCUAUUGAGGAGAAAUCUUCCCAUUUGGGGAGGGCAUUUUAUUUUCUUUGAAUUAACCAAAUAACAUCUCAGCUCCCAUUUUUAACAAAAAAUUUACUGGCAAAUAUGGAAGUAUGAUGUGGGAAAUACGGUAUUUCCUUCUGGUGGGGGCUUUCAGUUAUAGGACGUAUGUCACCACGUUAUAUAUUAGCUACUCAGUCUUCAUUCAUCCUAUAACUGAUAAUCACUAUUCUAUUCUCUGUUUCUAUGUGUUCAGUUUUUUUUUUUUUUUCAGGUUCCACAAAAAAGCAAUACCAUUCAGUUUUUUUUUCUUUCUCUGUCAGGCUUUUUUCACUUAGAAUAAUGCCCUCCAGUUUGAUCCUGUCAUUUGCAGUUGUUGAAGCAUCCUUGUAUCCCAGAGAUUAACCCUACUUGGUCAUGGUGCAUGAUCCUUUGCAUGUGCUUUUGAUUUCAAUUUGCUAAUAUUUUGUUGAGAAUUUUUGCAUCUAUAUUCAUCAGGGUUAUUGGCCUUACAGUUUCCUUUUCUUGCAGUGUCCUUUUCGCUUUGGCAUUGGAGUAAUGCCGGCUUUGUAAUAUAAGUUCAGGAGUGUUCCUUUCUUGUUCCUAAGGUAGCACAUUAUACAUUCUUCUUUGUGUCUUCCUUAUUUCACUUAAAAUACAGCAAGAAAUAAUUCUAUUUCACUGUAUCAAUUUUUUUCUUAUUUUUAUAACUUCCCAGUACCAUUGUUUGUGCAUAUGCCGUAAUGCAUUACUCAGUCCCCUGCCAUUAGACAUGUGGAUUGUUUCCAGUCUUUUGUUAUUACAAAUCAUAUGUAUUUUUACCAGUGAGUCUUUGGGAUUCUUAGAUAAAAGAUAAAUGCAGUUGCAAUUAUAAAUUGUCAAAUUUCUCUCCACAGGGUUUGUAUCAUUUCACAUUUUCCUCAAUAUUGAGUGAGACUGUCUUCUUUGAGCCAUGCUAACAGUAUACACUGUCAGGUUUUUGAAUUCUUGCUAAUCUAACAGGUAAAUAGGGGUAUCUCAAAGUUAUUAUUUUGGAUUUCUCUUACUAGGACUGAAAUCACUUUCAAUUACAUUUUCCCCCAUUUGCUUUUCAUAUAUUUUUUUCCAUUUUUCCAUUAGUUCUGUCUUUAUUUUUCUUAGUUUUAUUUUAUUUAAUUAAAAAAUUUAAAUUUAAAUUAUUUUAUUAAAGUAUAAAUGACAUAUAAAUUAUAUUAGUUUCAGGUGUCCAAUGUAUUGAUUUGAUAUUUGUGUGUAUUGUGAAAUAUUGUGAAAUGAUCACCCCAAUGAGUCUAGUUAACAUCUGUCACCACACAUAGUUACAAAACUAUUUUUCUUACAAUUAGAACUUUUAAGAUGUGUUCUCCUAGCAACUCUCAAAUAUGCAAUACAGUGUAAUUAACUAUAGUCACCAUACUGUACAGUACAUCCCCUGACCUAAUUAUUUUAUAACUGGAAGUUUAUGCCUUUGGAUCCCUUUUACUCAUUUUGGCCAUCCCUCACCCUCUCCUGGCAAUCACUGAUCUGUUCUCUGUAUCUAUGAACUUGGUUUAACUAUUUAUUUAUUUUAGAUUCUUUGUAUAAGUGAGAUCAUGUUGUACUUGUCUUUCUAUGUCUGACUUAUUUCAUUUAGCAUACUGCCCUCUAGGUCCACACAUGUUCCAAAUGACAAUUUUCAUUAUUUUUUUAUGGCUGAAUAAUAAUGACUAUAUGCGUGUGUCACACUUUAUUUAUCCAUUUAUCACUUAGGUGGUUUCCAUACUUUGGCUAUUGUAAAUAACGCUGCUAUAAACAUGGGGAUGCAUAUCAUAUGUCUUCUCAAGCUAGUGUUUUCAUUUUCUUUGGAUUAAUACCCAAAAAUGAUUUUUGAGGAAACUCCAUACUGUUUUCCAUAGUGGCCCCACAAAUUUACAUUCCCAUCAACAGUGCACCAGGGUUCCCUUUUUGCUACACCCUGACCACACCUGUUAUUUCCAAUCUUUUUGUUAAUAGCCUUUCCAAUAGUGUGAUACAAUAUCUCAUUGUGGUUUUGAUUUGCAUCUUCCUUAUAGUGAUGUCAAACACCUUUUUCAGCUAAAUGUUAGCCAUUUGCAUGUCUUCACUGGAAAAACAUCUGCUCAGCUCCUCUACUUAUUUUUAAAAUCAGAUUGUUUGCUGUUUUACUAUUGAGUUGUAUGAGUUCUUUAUAUUUGGGAGUUUUAACUCCUUAUCAGAUAAUACGAUUUGCAAAUAUUUUCUCCCAUGCUGUAGGCUGCCUUUCAUUUUCUUGGUGGUUUCCUUUGCUGUGCAGAAGCUUUGUAGUUUAAUGUAUUUCCACUUGUUUAUGUUUUCUUUUGUUGCUUUUGAUCAUUAUCAAGUUAUAUGUCAAGGAGCUUAGCACAUAUGUUUUCUUCUAGGAGUUCUAAAGUUACAAAUCUUAUGUUCCAAGUCUUUAAUCCAUUUUAAAUUUACUUUCUGUGUAUGGUAUAAAACAGUGGUCCAGUUUUAUCCUUUUACAUGUCCAGUUUUCCCAGCACCAUGUAUUGAAGAUACUGCCCUUUCCCACUUAUAUAUUCUUAGCUCCUUUGUUGUAAAUUAAUUGGCCAUAUAUUCAUGUUUUAUUUCUGGGCUCUAUUUUCUGUUCCAUUGAUCUAUGUGUUUAUUUUUAUGCCAAUAUCAGUGUGUUUGAUUACUAUAGCUUUGUAUAGUUUGAAAUCAGAUAUUUUUCUUAAUUUUUAGAGAAUCUAUGCUUGGAAUAUUGGCCCUUCCUUAGGAAUUUAAUAGUAAAAUUUUCCCUAAUUUGUCACCUGCCUUUUGGCUUUGCUUAUGGUAAUUUUUUUCCAUGCUAAUUAAAAUUUUUAUCAUCUG
This 5992-nucleotide long non-coding RNA is filed under the name Sus scrofa (pig). RNAcentral's name for it is "lncRNA (ENSSSCG00000055926.1)". The record is from RNAcentral. Lineage: Eukaryota; Metazoa; Chordata; Mammalia; Artiodactyla; Suidae.